GGGCCCGCACAAGCGGUGGAGUAUGUGGUUUAAUUCGAUGCAACGCGAAGAACCUUACCAGGGUUUGACAUCCUGCGAAUCUCCUGGAAACAGGGGAGUGCCUUCGGGAACGCAGUGACAGGUGGUGCAUGGCUGUCGUCAGCUCGUGUCGUGAGAUGUUGGUUAAGUCCCGCAACGAGCGCAACCCACGUCUUUAGUUGCCAGCAUUUAGUUGGGCACUCUAGAGAGACUGCCGGUGAUAAACCGGAGGAAGGUGUGGAUGACGUCAAGUCAUCAUGCCCCUUACAUCCUGGGCUACACACGUACUACAAUGCUACGGACAAAGGGCUGCAAGUUCGCGAGGAC
This 345-nucleotide ribosomal RNA is filed under the name uncultured bacterium. RNAcentral describes it as "bacterial SSU rRNA". It matches the Rfam family "Bacterial small subunit ribosomal RNA", at positions 917 to 1264 of the family's 1533-position model. The record is from RNAcentral.